UGGGGAAUUUUGGACAAUGGGCGAAAGCCUGAUCCAGCAAUGCCGCGUGUGUGAAGAAGGCCUUCGGGUUGUAAAGCACUUUUGUCCGGAAAGAAAUCCUUGGCUCUAAUACAGUCGGGGGAUGACGGUACCGGAAGAAUAAGCACCGGCUAACUACGUGCCAGCAGCCGCGGUAAUACGUAGGGUGCAAGCGUUAAUCGGAAUUACUGGGCGUAAAGCGUGCGCAGGCGGUUUGCUAAGACCGAUGUGAAAUCCCCGGGCUCAACCUGGGAACUGCAUUGGUGACUGGCAGGCUAGAGUAUGGCAGAGGGGGGUAGAAUUCCACGUGUAGCAGUGAAAUGCGUAGAGAUGUGGAGGAAUACCGAUGGCGAAGGCAGCCCCCUGGGCCAAUACUGACGCUCAUGCACGAAAGCGUGGGGAGCAAACAGGAUUAGAUACCCUGGUAGUCCACGCCCUAAACGAUGUCAACUAGUUGUUGGGGAUUCAUUUCCUUAGUAACGUAGCUAACGCGUGAAGUUGACCGCCUGGGGAGUACGGUCGCAAGAUUAAAACUCAAUGAAUUGACGGGGUCAUAGCUGUUU
RNAcentral lists this ribosomal RNA (581 nucleotides) under uncultured bacterium. Its description in RNAcentral is "partial 16S ribosomal RNA". It matches the Rfam family "Bacterial small subunit ribosomal RNA", at positions 355 to 935 of the family's 1533-position model. The record is from RNAcentral.